RNAcentral lists this ribosomal RNA (377 nucleotides) under uncultured eukaryote. RNAcentral describes it as "SSU rRNA". It matches the Rfam family "Eukaryotic small subunit ribosomal RNA", at positions 587 to 972 of the family's 1831-position model. The record is from RNAcentral.
AGCUCUAAUAGCGUAUAUUAAUGUUGUUGCAGUUAAAAAGCUCGUAGUUGGAUUUUGGUGUUUGACAAACGGUCGGCCUUACGGUUGGUACUGUUUGUUGGCACUUAUUUUCUGGGGAACUCACUGAUCUUAAUUGAUGGGUGUUGUAACGCAGAUCGUUUACUUUGAAAAAUUAGAGUGUUCAAAGCAGGCCAUCGCAUUGAAUACAUUAGCAUGGAAUAAUGGAAUAGGACUUUGGUCUUAUUUUGUUGGUUUCUAAGGCCGAGGUAAUGAUUAAUAGGGAUAGUUGGGGGCGUUUAUAUUCCGUUGUCAGAGGUGAAAUUCUUGGAUUUACGGAAGAUAAACUACUGCGAAAGCAUUCGCCAAGGAUGUUUUCA